GGAACCACUGAUCUAGUCCAAACUGCUCAUGGUGCAGAUAAGAACACUGAAGCACCCUCGGGACUUUCCCAGAGUCGUACAUGGUGGGAACACUUUGGACAGGCUGAAGAAGGGAGAACAGGGUGUCCAGGUUCAAUGAAGGCACACAUCUUCUCUUACCAGAGACAUAGACAUGGAGCCUCAGAUGCAACACUCAACACGACGAAGCCCCAAACUAUAGAAGCUGAAAAGUAAUUGAAUCCUCAUUUCCAUCAUCCAGACCAGUUUCAAAAGCUUGAGUCAAGAUUAGAGUUGGAAAACCAAGGUUCAGCAUGAAAAGAUUAACUCUUAAAAAGUGAGGAGAAAUCUUUAAACCGGGUCUGAAGAAAGACGAUGCUGCUUUUCUACUCCACUGGUGAAGAGAAAACAGAAGAUGCCCAUUCAGUUUAACUGCUCUAGUUAGGUGAAAGAAACCCACCUCAAACCAAUUUAGGCAAGAAGUGAAUUUA
This 488-nucleotide long non-coding RNA is filed under the name Sus scrofa (pig). Its description in RNAcentral is "lncRNA (ENSSSCG00055008908.1)". Lineage: Eukaryota; Metazoa; Chordata; Mammalia; Artiodactyla; Suidae. The record is from RNAcentral.